GACAAGGCGAAGAACUUCCUGGCCGAGAAGGUGGCCCACAUCCCGAAGCCGGAGGGCAGCGUGACGGACGUCGACCUGAAGGGCGUCACCCGCGAGUGCGUCGAGUACAACGCCAAGGUCGCCGUCAAGAACCCCUACGGCCACUCCCUCCCCAUCUGCGAGAUCACCUACUCCUUCAAAAGCGCCGGCAGGUAUGAUAAACCCCCCUUCUUCCAAAGUCUCGAUUUUCUCGUACCUGGAUUUCGAUUGCGAACGAGACGUGGGGGAAUGAUUUGGUUUUUGAAUGAAUCAGGGAGAUAGCGUCGGGGAAGGUGCCGGAUCCGGGGUCGCUUAAGGCCAGCGACACGACGAUGCUGGACGUGCUGGUGAAGACGCCGUACAGCAUCCUGAUGAGCCUGGCGAAGGACAUCGGGACCGACUGGGACAUCGACUACCAGCUCGACAUCGGGCUCAUCAUCGACCUCCCCAUCAUCGGGAACUUCACCCUCCCCAUCUCCACCAAGGGCGAGAUCAAGCUCCCAACCCUCACC
RNAcentral lists this long non-coding RNA (530 nucleotides) under Eucalyptus grandis. RNAcentral describes it as "long non-coding RNA (EGRA_LNC002474)". The record is from RNAcentral. Lineage: Eukaryota; Viridiplantae; Streptophyta; Magnoliopsida; Myrtales; Myrtaceae.